CGCAAGGGCGCAGCCAAUAGGAUUGUAGCCUGCAGGUGCGGCCAAGCACAGAACGGAGGGGGUGGGGGCGCUGCAACCACGGAGAGCUACCGCCUGGCAGGACUUGGGGCAAAGGUACGCGAGCGCUGUGAGUUCGUCGGCUGAGACACGACACCCACAGAAGAGUCGGCCCAUCCACGGAGCGCCCCAAGCACACGUCCUAAGUGAUUCGUACGGGUCACAAGACUCAAAAGAUUCCCGCAGGAUUCACAAUGCACGAAACACGUCUGGCUCUUGCUGCGAACAGACCGGAUACAGAACGCAGUGGGUGAGAGGAGAUGACAAUGACUGCAGCCCAAGUGCCCAGACCCAAAUUCCAGAAGCAGAUCCUUGAAACAGCCUGCACUCCCCUUGGAGAGACCGGAGUGGAUAUAAAGCUUCAUGGGUGAAGGAAAUUUUCAAAGGCUUCCAACUGGAAGACCUCAGCAGACGACGAUAGACACUCCAAACCUCUUACCACUCAUCAUGGAUUAGAAAUUUCUAACAAAUUUUUAGCUGCUGAGGAUCAAAGUCAAGACCUUGCACAUGGCAGGCAACCACUUUGCCACUGAGCUAAUCCUCAAAUCAGGCAGCUUAUCUUAAAAUUUAAAGUAUUUUUUGAAUGGCACUAAUUAGGAGUACAUAACAAGAAGACAGGCA
RNAcentral lists this long non-coding RNA (678 nucleotides) under Fukomys damarensis (Damara mole-rat). RNAcentral describes it as "lncRNA (ENSFDAG00000026258.1)". Lineage: Eukaryota; Metazoa; Chordata; Mammalia; Rodentia; Bathyergidae. The record is from RNAcentral.